AGAAGUGACAUAUGCAGCAUGACCAGUGGAAGCUUCGAAGAGCUAUUGCCAAUUUCCACCCUCUCUCUGGAAACUGUCAUUAGGGUUAGGGAAACUGUCAUGAGAUCUGCAUAUUUUAGAUAGAGGCUGCUUGCCUUAUUUGGGCACCUAAUGAAAAAGACAUGGAGGCCAGGUGCGGUGGCUCAUGUCUGUAAUCCCAGCACUUUGGGAGGCCAAGGCGAGUGGAUCACCUGAGGUCAGGAGUUCGAGACCAGCCUGACCAACAUGGCAAAACCCCGUCUGUACUAAAAGUGCAAACACAAAGGGAACUGCGUGGCUUGUUUCUACCUGAACAUUGUCAAGUGAUUUCAUCCUUUGAAACACAGUUGUGAAGUGUGUCCAGCAGUCUGAGAACAAGAAGAAGAAGAAAAUCUAAUCCUUCAGGGUGUCUGUGUGCCAGCCCUGCUCUCAGCACUUCCCAUGUGGAACUCCUUUACUUCUCCUAACAACUCCAUGACAUGGGUUAGACUGUGAUUGUUCCCAUAUUGUUGGUAGGGAAACUGAGGCAUGCAGGUGUUACAGAGCUCUCUCAAGUGGCAAGCUUUCUGGGUGGUUACAGAGUGGCAGAGCUGGGGUAUCCCAUGAUGUCACCACACUGCUAUAUGGAAAAGAACAUUAAUCGAGCACCUACGUGCUUGAUUCUCUUAAUUCUGUGACUGAACUCUCAAAACACCCUGGGUAAGCACUAUCAUCUCCUAUUUUCACAAGUGAAAAAACUGGGAUUCAAAAAAAUUAAGUGACUUACCAAAUAUUACAGAGCUAGUAAGCCAAGACUUGAACACUGAGAUGGAAUUCUACCUUUUAAGGUGGCUAAGCAACAGAAGGAUGUUCCUUUCCCAAGGGGGUAAGAAGCAGUGGCCAUGUUCAGCACAAUUGUCCUAUCACAGGUUCAUGGCAGGGACCGAGCAGUGAGGAUGGGCACUGCCCUGUGUCCUAGCAGAGGGCUGCCUUCUGGCUCCCCAGCCUUGGCCAGCAGCCCUUCUAUCUUCAUGCCAUGACCUAUUUUUGUUCACCCAGUUAGUGUAUGGCCUAUUUCUUUCCUUAAGAAUUACUUCAUAACUUUCACAGAGUAAUAGCACAUGCUGAGCACAGCAUUCAUGAACUUGGACACACGCACACAAAAUGUCCCUUUAAAUUCACAGAGCAGUAUCUGAGAUCCAGGUAGAAAGACCAAAAGGAAAAUUAAGAACAGACUCUCAGACCUGCCUUCCCUUUGCAUUCAGCACUCCACGAAGAGGCCUUGGCUAGCUGCACAUCUCCCUACAUGGGUAUGUCAAGAUCACCAACUCUGCUUACAGCAGUUCCCAGAUGAAACUCUUCAUAAUUUCAGAUGCACCUUUAAUACCAGUGAAGGUUUACCUCCAGGCCCACAGUCUGGGUCUUUCCAGAGACACCCACAGCAAGAUGUCACCUGCUUUUUGAUGUCAUCAGAGUCAAACACAAACACCCACCACUGUGGUUUCCAUGUCUAAUUCGCAAAUGGCUUUAACUUUGAGCUGGCCCACAAUGUUGUAUUAACCCCACUCAGGUAUCAUCUUUCUCCGUGGGUGAACCCAUAGUGACCUUUCCUUCUGAUUCUUCUUUUACUCUAAGGGCAUGAUUUUGGCAAACUGUCUAUAUGUACACUGGAAACAACUUCAACUUGCUUUUAUGUUGAUUUCACUUCUCCACUUUCAAUGCAGAAAGCUAAUCAGCAAUGCCCUAGGUUACUAAGAGAGGACAAUUCUUUCUUAGCCCAUUGAAUUAUGAGCAUUUUCUUGGAAAUGCAGCAAAAUGUGUUCUGACAGAUGCCUUUGGGUCCCUUGGGUUCUUUGCUAAGACAGCUAUAGAGAGAGGGCUCAAUAAGGUGGGGCCUGUGAUGGGACAUUGUUUUUACUGCACUGGUGAUAGAACAAAAGUCAGACAGGGCACAACACACACUGAUACAACCAAUCACCCAGUCACACUGCAGCCUUAGGAAACCCAUGAGCUUGUGGCAGCAGGCAAACUUGCUUCAGAGUUCCAAGAAUCCAAAUGUUCCUGGUGUGUCUGUUGUCUUGCGAUAUAGACUGAGAUCACAGGAUUGAAGAUACGACCAGAGUCAUGCUGUUGAAAGAGACUGGCUGAGUAGUGAUGAAAAAUAAACUUGGUCAAUCUAU
RNAcentral lists this long non-coding RNA (2177 nucleotides) under Homo sapiens (human). RNAcentral's name for it is "long intergenic non-protein coding RNA 964". Lineage: Eukaryota; Metazoa; Chordata; Mammalia; Primates; Hominidae. The record is from RNAcentral.